GGUGUAGUCGUAACAAGGUAACCGUAGGGGAACCUGCGGUUGGAUCACCUCCUUA
This 55-nucleotide ribosomal RNA is filed under the name Escherichia coli. RNAcentral's name for it is "partial 16S ribosomal RNA". It matches the Rfam family "Bacterial small subunit ribosomal RNA", at positions 1479 to 1533 of the family's 1533-position model. The record is from RNAcentral. Lineage: Bacteria; Pseudomonadati; Pseudomonadota; Gammaproteobacteria; Enterobacterales; Enterobacteriaceae.